UACGUAGGUGGCGAGCGUUAUCCGGAUUUACUGGGCGUAAAGCAUGUGCAGACGGGUUGGUAAGUGGUGUAUGAAAGCGUCCGGCUUAACCGGGCAAGGGUAUGCCAGACUGCCAGUCUUGAGAAUGGGAGAGGGAUGUGGAAUUCCGGGUGUAGUGGUGAAAUGCGUAGAGAUCCGGAGGAACCCCAGAGGCGAAGGCGGCGUCCUGGCCCAUUUCUGACGUUCAGACAUGACAGCAUGGGGAGCGAACGGG
Molecule: ribosomal RNA, 253 nt
Filed under: uncultured bacterium
Lineage: Bacteria
Description: partial 16S ribosomal RNA
Rfam family: Bacterial small subunit ribosomal RNA
Source: RNAcentral